GACCUUUGCAAGUUUCAGGUAUGCCCAACCUGCCAUAUCUCUAUGCUGCGGAUUUUAUCAAUGUCUUACAAGAAAAACAUGCAUCCAACACCUACGCAAAAAUGAAGAAAGCACCAGGGGUACAUACUGCCCAGGAAUGGAGCCAUCGCCUCCUUCUGAGUAUAUUACCUGCUUAGGUGAUCUUUACAGUAUUUCCUGGAUGGAAGACAGCAGCCGUGUGUGCACUGCUUGUGCUGGACACCCAUCUGGAGGCCCCUGAUUGGAAGGGAAGCCACUGGAAAUGCUGCGGGAGAUGGUGGCGGUACGCUGGUAGAGCUGGGAGCAGACGUGGAGGGGUCGGACCUGCAGGUCCUUGAAGGUGCUGAUAUACAUAGGUGCUUUGAGAAAAAAAAUCAGUUAGGAUGAUGCGGUGCUUACGGGAGGUAGAUGGUGAAUAGAGAGGGUGGGAGAGAGAAGGAGAGGGAGCGAUAGACAUAUAUGCAUUAUAUUCAUAGGUGCAGUCGAAAACUCAAAUCAAAGGCCCGUGGCAACGUGCGGGCAUUCUACUGGUUUUUGAACUUCCGUUUCUUGGUCAAGUGACAUUUAAAGUUUGCACUUCCUAGACAAAAGAAUUGGUAAAAUACAGUGAUUUAGUUACUUUCUUGGUCUCAGUUAAUGUACUUCUGUUGAAUUCUUCUGUCACUCUUGAUACAAAGCUAUAGCUAUACUUCCAUUUGCCAAGAUGAUAAAAUUGGUAAAAUACAGUGAUUUAGUUACUUUCAGAUUUUGGUAUUUUCUAAGAAGUGCUCCACAAAUAACUAAACAAGCUUGUAUUUUCUCUAUUCCUAAUGCCUCAGUUGGUAGUCUCGCCUCAGCCACCACAUCUCACCACUCCUAUCUCUCGCCCGCCACUUCCAUUUGCCACUGAAAUGCUGCUAUUUUAAGAAUUGAAGAGAUUGCCUUUUCAUUUUAUAAAAUAUUCCUGUUUCAUUGUACCAUCUGAAGUGACCAAGCAUGAUCAU
Molecule: long non-coding RNA, 1001 nt
Organism: Triticum dicoccoides
Lineage: Eukaryota; Viridiplantae; Streptophyta; Magnoliopsida; Poales; Poaceae
Exons: 4
Source: RefSeq, a predicted model, not a curated record